Molecule: non-coding RNA, 201 nt
Organism: Cinara cedri
Lineage: Eukaryota; Metazoa; Arthropoda; Insecta; Hemiptera; Aphididae
Source: the annotation of a GenBank genome assembly
ACAGCAAUUUAAUUGUAAUUUCUAAAGGGCUUUUACGCAUUCUAGAAUACAUAAUACGAAAAUAUUGUGUUAACAGAGAAAGAAAGUAAAGCGGGGAGGAAGCAAAGAUUGAAAAAAAGAAUUAGACAAGGGUGUAACUUACCUACGCUAUUUAACUUAUAUAUUGAAGUUUCACUAGAAAAAUUAAAGGAAGAACAAACA